AUUGAACGCUGGCGGCAGGCCUAACACAUGCAAGUCGAACGGUAACAGGAAGAAGCUUGCUUCUUUGCUGACGAGUGGCGGACGGGUGAGUAAUGUCUGGGAAACUGCCUGAUGGAGGGGGAUAACUACUGGAAACGGUAGCUAAUACCGCAUAACGUCGCAAGACCAAAAAGGGGGACCUUCGGGCCUCUUGCCAUCGGAUGUGCCCAGAUGGGAUUAGCUAGUAGGUGGGGUAACGGCUCACCUAGGCGACGAUCCCUAGCUGGUCUGAGAGGAUGACCCGCCAACCUGGAAAUGAGAACAGGUCCAGACCCCUACGGGGGGCAGCCGGGGGGAAUAUUGAAAAAGGGGGGGAAGCCUGAAUGAGGCAUGCCGGGGGUAAGGAAAAAGCCGUCGGGGUGUAAAAUUCUUUCCGGGGGGGGGAAGGGAGUAAAGUUAAAACCCUUGCCCCUUGACGUUACCCGGAAAAGAAACCCCGGCUAACCCCG
Molecule: ribosomal RNA, 488 nt
Filed under: uncultured bacterium
Lineage: Bacteria
Description: partial 16S ribosomal RNA
Rfam family: Bacterial small subunit ribosomal RNA
Source: RNAcentral